UGACCGUGCCCAAAGUAGCAUAAUCAAUUGUCUUUUAAUUAAAGGCUUGUAUGAAAGGUUGAAUGAGGUAUAAUCUAUUUUUAUUUAAUAUAAAAUGAAUUUUAAUUAUUAGUAAAAAUGCUAAUAUAUUUUUAAAAGACGAGAAGACCCUAUAAAUCUUUAUUAUUAGUUUAAAAUUAAAUUUUUAGAUAAUUAUAAUUAUUUUUAAAUUAAUAAUUUUAUUGGGGUGAUAAUGAAAUUUAUAUAACUUUUAUUUAUAUUUUAAUAAUAAUAUUUAAUUAAAUUGAUCCAUUAUUAAUGAUUAAAAAAUUAAGUUACUUUAGGGAUAACAGCGUAAUUAUUUUAAAGAGUUCUUAUCGAUAAAAUAGUUUGCGACCUCGAUGUUGAAUUAUGUAAGUAAUCUAAAUGUACGCAGUUA
Molecule: ribosomal RNA, 418 nt
Filed under: Culicoides similis
Lineage: Eukaryota; Metazoa; Arthropoda; Insecta; Diptera; Ceratopogonidae
Description: partial 16S ribosomal RNA
Source: RNAcentral